CCUACGGGGUGCUGCAGUGGGGAAUAUUGGACAAUGGGCGAAAGCCUGAUCCAGCCAUGCCGCGUGUGUGAAGAAGGCCUUCGGGUUGUAAAGCACUUUCAGUGGGGAAGAAAGCCUUGGGGCUAAUACCCUCGAGGAAGGACAUCACCCACAGAAGAAGCACCGGCUAACUCCGUGCCAGCAGCCGCGGUAAUACGGAGGGUGCGAGCGUUAAUCGGAAUUACUGGGCGUAAAGCGCGCGUAGGCGGUCUGAUAAGCCGGAUGUGAAAGCCCCGGGCUCAACCUGGGAACGGCAUCCGGAACUGUCAGGCUAGAGUGCAGGAGAGGAAGGUAGAAUUCCCGGUGUAGCGGUGAAAUGCGUAGAGAUCGGGAGGAAUACCAGUGGCGAAGGCGGCCUUCUGGACUGACACUGACGCUGAGGUGCGAAAGCGUGGGUAGCAAACAGGAUUAGAUACCCGAGUAGUC
This 465-nucleotide ribosomal RNA is filed under the name Vreelandella stevensii. Its description in RNAcentral is "partial 16S ribosomal RNA". It matches the Rfam family "Bacterial small subunit ribosomal RNA", at positions 338 to 795 of the family's 1533-position model. Lineage: Bacteria; Pseudomonadati; Pseudomonadota; Gammaproteobacteria; Oceanospirillales; Halomonadaceae. The record is from RNAcentral.